Molecule: small nucleolar RNA, 199 nt
Filed under: Bemisia tabaci
Lineage: Eukaryota; Metazoa; Arthropoda; Insecta; Hemiptera; Aleyrodidae
Description: aCEA small nucleolar RNA U3
Rfam family: Small nucleolar RNA U3
About the family: Small nucleolar RNAs (snoRNAs) are involved in the processing and modification of rRNA in the nucleolus.
Source: RNAcentral
AAGACUAUACUUAACAGGAUCAUUUCUGUAGUAGCAUAGUUCUUCCUACUUUCCAAUCUUGGAGAGUCCCAACCCACGAUGAUGAGAUUCGUUCUCUCUUCUGAGCGUGAGGCAGAUGUACUUUCGGCGUAAGUCGAUGGUACAUCAUCGAUGAUCGCACCUCCUUCGGGAGUCGGGAGAGAGGACAAUCUGAGUGGUC